This 245-nucleotide ribosomal RNA is filed under the name uncultured bacterium. RNAcentral's name for it is "partial 16S ribosomal RNA". It matches the Rfam family "Bacterial small subunit ribosomal RNA", at positions 89 to 334 of the family's 1533-position model. The record is from RNAcentral.
CGUCGACCGGCGCACGGGUGAGUAACGCGUAUCCAACCUUCCCAUUACUGUGGGAUAACCUGCCGAAAGGCAGACUAAUACCGCAUAGUCUUCGAUGACGGCACCAGAUUUGAAGUAAAGAUUUAUCGGUAAUGGAUGGGGAUGCGUCUGAUUAGCUUGUUGGCGGGGUAACGGCCCACCAAGGCAACGAUCAGUAGGGGUUCUGAGAGGAAGGUCCCCCACAUUGGAACUGAGACACGGUCCAA